GCGCCCGUAGCUCAGCGGAUAGAGUACUGGCCUCCGAAGCCAGGGGUCACAGGUUCAAUUCCUGUCGGGCGCGCCA
Molecule: transfer RNA, 76 nt
Filed under: Burkholderiaceae bacterium
Lineage: Bacteria; Pseudomonadati; Pseudomonadota; Betaproteobacteria; Burkholderiales; Burkholderiaceae
Description: tRNA-Arg
Rfam family: tRNA
About the family: Transfer RNA (tRNA) molecules are approximately 80 nucleotides in length. Their secondary structure includes four short double-helical elements and three loops (D, anti-codon, and T loops).
Source: RNAcentral